RNAcentral lists this ribosomal RNA (395 nucleotides) under uncultured bacterium. RNAcentral describes it as "bacterial SSU rRNA". It matches the Rfam family "Bacterial small subunit ribosomal RNA", at positions 29 to 416 of the family's 1533-position model. The record is from RNAcentral.
AACGAACGCUGGCGGCGUGGAUAAGACAUGCAAGUCGAACGGGAGUUUGUUUAUAGCAAUAUGAGUGAACUCUAGUGGCGAAAGGGUGCGUAACACGUGGCUACCUACCUCGAAGUUGGGGAUAGCUCGGCGAAAGCCGGAUUAAUACCGAAUGUGAUCGUGAGAUCAAAGCUGGGGAUCGUAAGACCUGGCGCUUUGAGAUGGGGCUGCGGCCUAUCAGGUAGUUGGCGGGGUAAUGGCCCACCAAGCCUAAGACGGGUAGCUGGUCUGAGAGGACGACCAGCCACACUGGAACUGAGACACGGUCCAGACACCUACGGGUGGCAGCAGUCGAGGUAUUUUCUCAAUGGGGGAACCCUAAAAGGAGGAGCGACGCCGCGUGAGGGAUGAAGGUC